CGUAAUUGGUAAAACGAAUAAGCUAAAUAACCGCAUAAACAAAUGGAUGACACAUGUCAUUUAGUUUGUAAAAGGGGCAAUUGUUCCACUACAAGAUGGACCUGCGUUGUAUUAGCUAGUAGGUGAGGUAAUGGCUCACCUAGGCGACGAUACAUAGCUGACCUGAGAGGGUGAUCGGCCACACUGGGACUGAGACACGGCCCAGACUCCUACGGGAGGCAGCAGUAGGGAAUCUUCGGCAAUGGGGGCGAACCCUGACCGAGCAACGCCGCGUGAGUGAAAGAAGGUUUUCGGAUCGUAAAGCUCUGUUGUAAGUCAAGAACGGGUGUGAGAGUGGAAAGUUCACACUAUGACGGUAGCUUACCAGAAAGGGACGGCUAACUACGUGCCAGCAGCCGCGGUAAUACGUAGGUCCCGAGCGUUGUCCGGAUUUAUUGGGCGUAAAGCGAGCGCAGGCGGUUUGAUAAGUCUGAAAGUUAAAAGGCUGUGGCUCAAACCAUAGUUCGCUUUGGAAAACUGUCAAAACUUGAGUGCAGAAGGGGAGAGUGGAAUUC
Molecule: ribosomal RNA, 554 nt
Filed under: uncultured bacterium
Lineage: Bacteria
Description: bacterial SSU rRNA
Rfam family: Bacterial small subunit ribosomal RNA
Source: RNAcentral